Paramuricea clavata is the source of this 1257-nucleotide non-coding RNA. The record is from the annotation of a GenBank genome assembly. Lineage: Eukaryota; Metazoa; Cnidaria; Anthozoa; Malacalcyonacea; Plexauridae.
AGCAAUUUGUAAAACUUAUUUAGUUAUUUAUACAGGAAAUAGUGCUACACAAUAUGAUUCCAUAUAACAAGAACAAAACAAAUCCUGUUUUUGCAUCAUGUUUACCCCAUGGUUAAGUCAAAGCCUGAAUAUAGGUUGAGUUGGGUAAACCAAUUAAUAAAUAGGAUUAGCUGAAAUAAAUCAACCAGAUGAUCAGAUUGUGAACAUCAUGCAUUGUUGCAAUAUACACAUAAAUAUUGGUUUCGAUUAAGAAACAUACUUUGACUUUGAGUCAAUUAAAAAUAAUCUAAUCCAUUCUCUAAUUCUACUUCUUAUUGUUAUUGUAAUUGGGUGAAAGUUUUAAAUAAUAAAAUAAAAAAAUAAUUAAAUAAUGUAAUGGCUAUUGGCUAACAACUGAGUCUUGAUUAUUAGCUUUAGUACCAUUUUGUAAACACCACCAAUAAAUAUUGGCAAUUAAAGUUUUUAAAGUUGCACCUUUCUUUCAUGCCGAUAUAGCCUGAUAUACUGAUUCAUUUGCAAAUAAUUAGAUUUGGAGCAAUGAUGUUGCAUGUAUACUGUACAACAUCGGUAGCAUAAUUAUGAAAAUUGAUCUUUAAGUAUUUACCACUGAAUGGCUAGUGAACUGAUUGCCGAAAUAUUAUGAAUCUUAACAACUAGCUGCCCAAAGAUGAAAAAUCUUAACAGCUUAGAAGUCCACACCAGACUGUGUUUUGUUAGUUAUAUAUACUGAACUGUAUUUAGCACAGAAUAGCUAAUGAACUGAUUGCCAAAAGACAUCAAAUCUUAACAACCAGCUGCCCAAAGAUGAACAAUCUUAACAGCUUAGAAGUUCAUGCCAGACUGUGAUUUUUAAGUUACAUGUAUUUAUCAAUUAAUGUUUAAAAUUCCAUAUAUGCUGAUAUACUGAUUAAUUUAUAAUUAAUCAGAGCAAUGAUGUUGCAUAAUUAUAUACUGUAGAACGUCACCAGAAUAUAUGCAUGACAUCUUAAGAACUGUACUAUCUAUUAUCAAAUAUUAGAUAAUGAACUGAUUGCCGAAACAUAGAAUCUUUACGAUCAGCCGCAAAGAUGAAAAAUUUUGACAGUUUACUGUAGAAGAAGUUCAUGCUGGACUAUAUGUUUUUUCAAGUUAAAAAUGUUUAAACUACUGUAAGUUGAAUAUAAUUAUGCUGAUUGAUUAAGUUGCAAUUGCAGGAACAAUGCUGAGUAUAUACUGAGAAAUACUGCAGCAGUCCUAUGAACAUUGGAAAUAUAAAAU